Molecule: small nucleolar RNA, 107 nt
Filed under: Hypsizygus marmoreus
Lineage: Eukaryota; Fungi; Basidiomycota; Agaricomycetes; Agaricales; Lyophyllaceae
Description: Small nucleolar RNA Z13/snr52
Rfam family: Small nucleolar RNA Z13/snr52
About the family: Z13 or snr52 is a member of the C/D class of snoRNA which contain the C (UGAUGA) and D (CUGA) box motifs. Most of the members of the box C/D family function in directing site-specific 2'-O-methylation of substrate RNAs.
Source: Rfam by way of RNAcentral
CCCACCCUCCUGAUGAAAACAAUUACGGAUUCAAGAGUUUCGACUCGUACGUCCGAGAGCGCAAAACCCAUGUGGAUUCCUCCGUUGCCUUCCUUCUGACCUAUUCC